AAUGAACGUUGGCGGCGUGGAUUAGGCAUGCAAGUCGUACGGUGGUUUCCUUUCGGGGAGGCCAUAGUGGCGAAAGGGAGAGUAACGCGUGGUUACAUGCCCUCGAGACCGGGAUAGCGGCGGGAAACUGCCGGUAAUACCGGAUAAUAUCUUUGGAUCAAAGGUGUGAUUCCGCUCGAGGAUUGGACCGCGUUCUAUUAGCUUGUUGGCGGGGUAAUGGCCCACCAAGGCGACGAUGGAUACCGGGUGUGAGAGCAUGGCCCGGCUCACUGGGACUGAGACACUGCCCAGACACCUACGGGUGGCUGCAGUCGAGAAGCUUCGGCAAUGGGGGCAACCCUGACCGAGCGACGCCGCGUGCGGGACGAAGGCCUUCGGGUUGUAAACCGCUGUCAGUUGGGAGGAAGGCCCGGUGCAGAGCCGGGUUUGACCUAGCCUCAGAGGAAGUGUGGGCUAAGUCCGUGCCAGCAGCCGCCGUAA
RNAcentral lists this ribosomal RNA (480 nucleotides) under uncultured bacterium. Its description in RNAcentral is "partial 16S ribosomal RNA". It matches the Rfam family "Bacterial small subunit ribosomal RNA", at positions 28 to 523 of the family's 1533-position model. The record is from RNAcentral.